UACGUAGGUGGCAAGCGUUGUCCGGAUUUAUUGGGGUUAAAGGGUGCGUAGGCGGUCUAUUAAGUCAGUGCUGAAAUAUCCCGGCUUAACCGGGAGGGUGGCAUUGAUACUGAUGGACUUGAGUAAAGUUGAGGUUGGCGGAAUUGACGGUGUAGCGGUGAAAUGCUUAGAUAUCGUCAAGAACACCUAUUGCGAAGGCAGCUAACUAAGCUUAAACUGACGCUGAGGCACGAAAGUGUGGGGAUCAAACAGG
This 253-nucleotide ribosomal RNA is filed under the name uncultured bacterium. RNAcentral's name for it is "partial 16S ribosomal RNA". It matches the Rfam family "Bacterial small subunit ribosomal RNA", at positions 524 to 776 of the family's 1533-position model. The record is from RNAcentral.